Non-coding RNA from Ameiurus melas (black bullhead), 72 nucleotides. The record is from the annotation of a GenBank genome assembly. NCBI's taxonomy places the organism in Eukaryota, Metazoa, Chordata, Actinopteri, Siluriformes, Ictaluridae.
UCCCUGGUGGACUAGUGGUUCUUAUACAGCGCACUCACUGCUUCGGCCCAGGAUCGAUUCCUGGUCAGGGAA